This 822-nucleotide long non-coding RNA is filed under the name Phasianus colchicus (ring-necked pheasant). RNAcentral's name for it is "lncRNA (ENSPCLG00000016789.1)". Lineage: Eukaryota; Metazoa; Chordata; Aves; Galliformes; Phasianidae. The record is from RNAcentral.
CCAUUUCCCCCCAUUUUGACCCAAUUUCCCCCCCAUUUCCCCCCCAUUUCCCCCCCAGGUGCUCCGGCCCUUCCUGCUGCGCCGCCUGAAGGUGGACGUGGAGAAGCAGAUGCCCAAAAAAUACGAGCAUGUCCUCAAAUGCCGUCUGUCCAAACGCCAGAGGUUCCUCUACGACGACUUCAUGGGCCAGGCCAGGUGCUGCCCCACAACCUCGGCCCCUAUGGGGGGGAAAUGGGGCCAUAUGGGGGGGAAAUGGGGCCAUAUGGGGUGGAAAUGGGGCCAUAUGGGGUGAAAGUGGUCCCUUAUGGGGGGAAAGUGGAGCCAUAUGGGGGUGAAAGUGGUCCCUUAUGGGGUGAAAUUGGUCCCUUAUGGGGUGAAAGUGGAGCCAUAUUGGGGGAAAGAGGUCCUAUAUGGGGUGGAAGUGGAGCCAUAUGGGGUGAAAAUGGUCCUUUAUGGGGUGAAAGUGGAGCCAUAUGGGGGGAAAUGGGUCCAAUAUGGGAGGAAAGUGGUCCCAUAUGGGGUGAAAGGGGUCCCAUAUGGGGUGAAAGGGGUCAUAUAGGGGGUGGAAGUGGUCCUAUAUGGGGUGAAAGUGGAGCCAUAUGGUCCUGUAUGGGGUAAAAGUGGUCCCAUAUGGGGUGAAAGUGGAGCCGUAUGGGGCGAAAGUGGUCCUAUAUGGGGGUUAAUGGUCCUAUAUGGGGUGAAAGGGGUCAUAUAGGGGGUGCAAAUGGUCCCACCCCAAUCCGACCUUUUUCUUUACAUUUCCCCCCCCCACCCGCAAAUCCGACCCCGUUCUUUACAUUCCCCCCCCCUUUUCCCCAUCCC